RNAcentral lists this ribosomal RNA (267 nucleotides) under uncultured bacterium. RNAcentral describes it as "partial 16S ribosomal RNA". It matches the Rfam family "Bacterial small subunit ribosomal RNA", at positions 87 to 353 of the family's 1533-position model. The record is from RNAcentral.
GAUGGCGACCGGCGCACGGGUGAGUGACACGUAUCCAACCUGCCGAUGACUCGGGGAUAGCCUUUCGAAAGAAAGAUUAAUACCCGAUGGCAUAGUUCUUCCGCAUGGUGGAACUAUUAAAGAAUUUCGGUCAUCGAUGGGGAUGCGUUCCAUUAGGUUGUUGGCGGGGUAACGGCCCACCAAGCCUUCGAUGGAUAGGGGUUCUGAGAGGAAGGUCCCCCACAUUGGAACUGAGACACGGUCCAAACUCCUACGGGAGGCAGCAUG